UUCCCAAUUUCUUUCCCAAAUUUUCUCUAUUCCUAUCUCAAUGUUGCCCAUCUAUAUUACAAUAUUGUUGACUUCUGCAGAUCCCAUCUGAACAGGAGCAGUUAAGGGCAUGCCAAAUAAGUGCACAGCAAAUAAACUAAGUGGAAGAGUUGUAAAAGACAAAUCCCGAUGCUUCUUUUGAGGACCUUGAAAAGCCUGGUGUAGAUGAUGAAUCUCAGCUUUGAAAUACGAAGAUGCAUAUCAUAUUAAGCUAACUGCACAAGAGGAGGUUCUACUGCAACUUCGAGCUAGUCAGUUGAUGUUAACCAUGGUUUCAGUGUUGAUUUUGUCUGGAAGAUUGAUAGGAUGCAAGGAGCUAUGAAAGCCUUUGUUGUGGAUGAGACAAGUGUGAAUGGGAAAUUUGGUAUCCAAGGGCGGUUUGCUGGAGGCGGUUGGUGUUAAAGCCGCUGAUUUUAAACGCUGAUCCAAUAGUUCCUAAACAACGCCGCUCUCAUUUUUUCCCUUCUCCGUCACGAGAAACAUCUCUCUCUUCUUUUCUCUUCCAAGCAUCCCAACAACGCUCCUCUAAAAUGCUUCCCUUCUCACUUCAUUCCCUCAAUGCUUCCCUUUACAUUCCAAACUAUCACCAAAAAUUAAUGCCUCAUCCUUCUGUUUGUGCUUUCUCUCUGCCAAUUUUCCUAACCCUAGACCUAAUUAUUUGCUUCACCUUUUAACCUUGGAACUCGAAACGCUCCAAGAUCCUCUCCCAAUCAAUGUUCGACUUGCCGCUCUUAAUUGCAGAAGCUUGUGGUUCUUAUUUUAAGGUUUGAUCGCAGGUUCACUCUUCAUCAUCGGGAUGAACAAAUCUUGCCCCCUCUGCAUUCCAUAUUCUAUAUUUUUUAUUGCCUUGAGAUAAUGGAAACAACAUUACUGUUUCAGAGCCUAUUUUUUUCUCAUUUCCUUCUCGAUUCCGUUUUGAACCUAUUUGAUUUAGGCUUGUUAGGGUUUAUUGGACAUUGCAGAGUUCAUCGUCGCUGGCUGUUAUGGAAUUGAAACGUUAUCGGUCCAUUUGAAUUUCAUCAAUUCCAUUGACAAUUUUUUUCUUUUUCGUUUGGGAUUUAACAUAUUGUCUGUAGUCAAGGGUGCAUGCCUUAGUUGUAUUUGUUAUAUUUUUUAUAUUUUUUAUAUUUGUCAUAUUUGUUGGAUUUAACAAAUAAUAAUUGAUCACAUUACACUUUUUUUAAUACCCUUCAUGUUUAUAAUGCAAAAUAUUUUGUUGCGCUGAGAAAUAAUUAAUUCUCUGUUCCAUCCUAUACUUGCAAUUUGCAUUUCGCAGAUGGUUUUUUCUAGUCUUGUUAGAAAAGAGAGAAAGAAAGAACGGGGUUGAGGUGACCUUAUAUGUAUGAAUUAACAAGAUUCUAGUUUACUAAUUGUACACCUUUAAGGUGUCCUUCCAAGAUAUGCUAAUGUAGUACUGGUUUAUUGGACAUGCUCAUGGAUUAAUUGAAAAAUAUUUAUUCAAUACCUCAAUUCAGUUAUUUUGUAGAAACUUAAUGGUCUUUGGAGAUGAGGUUAAAGGCUACCACCGAAGCCCUGAAGGUCUGAAUGGAAGUUAUAUAUAAUAUAUGUGGGCAGUCAAAUAGCAAUGUCAGUCUCUUAUAAGUUUUGCAAUGUAACCGCUGUAUUCUAGAUUACUUUUGCACUGGCUCACUUUUGACAUCGUUGUCUCUGUUUAUUUAUUGUUUUUCCUCAUCUUACAAGCAUCACACAUUUUAGUAGGUUGUAAAUGGACUUCUUCAAAGAGAGGAUUGGGUUACGGCAAUAAAGAUGCCCCUUGGGGUAGUUCCCGCAGGCUCUUUGUCGAUUCUUCAAUUUGAGGCAAUACAUUGGAUGUGUUUCUUUUGUGCCUGCAUCUGGGUUUGAGGCUUACAGGGAACCCACUAGUUACCCUGGCAAAUCUACUAGCAAAGGCAACAACACUGAUCCAAGUGACGGAGAAAGUGUUAAUUUACAAAAGCUUUGUUAUAAAGGACCUGAAAUAAACUUGGAAAAUCUGAAUUGGAGAGUUAUAAAUGGACCCUUUAUUUCUAUCUGGCUUCACAAUGUACCUUGGGGUGCCGAAGACACUAUGCCAGCACCUGAUGCAAAGAGACAACAGCAGAGCUGGCAGCUUCACUGUCUUUGGCAGCUGCUAGAAGGAUAGUUGAAGCAGAUGAGUUCACGAGGGCAGGAUUAUAUGAUGGAUGGCUACCACAUCUAUUUGUUGGGAACUUGCUCAAGGGACAAACAGUUGGUGUUAUUGGAGCGCCGUAUUGGAUCAGCUUAUGCAACGGAGUUCAAUCAUCGUGAUCAACCUUCUUUACAUUCUACAACUCAUCAAGCAUAAAAAGUUGCUUAGGUUUAAAUUUUUGAAUUUUUAUUGGUACUUUGAUUCCAGUUAGGUUUAAUUUGCAAGAUUACUCAGAUGUAAACAUUUGUGGUAUUAUUGAUACUUUGGUUCCAUUUAUGUUAAAUUUGCAAAGCACAUUUACUUUGUUUUAUCAUGUAUUUGGAUCUAUUAAUUUUUA
Molecule: RNA transcript, 2546 nt
Organism: Gastrolobium bilobum
Lineage: Eukaryota; Viridiplantae; Streptophyta; Magnoliopsida; Fabales; Fabaceae
Gene name: glycerate dehydrogenase HPR, peroxisomal-like
Exons: 8
Source: RefSeq, a predicted model, not a curated record